AGAAUCAACGCUGGCGGCGUGCCUAACACAUGCAAGUCGAACGAGAAAGUGGUAGCAAUACCAUGAGUAAAGUGGCGCACGUGUGAGUAACACGUGACUAACCUACCUUCGAGUGGGGAUAACCUCGGGAAACCGAGGCUAAUACCGCAUAACAUCGCAAGAUCAAAGCAGCAAUGCGCUGGAAGAGGGGGUCGCGGCUGAUUAGCUAGUUGGCGGGUAACGGCCCACCAAGGCGAAGAUCGGUA
RNAcentral lists this ribosomal RNA (245 nucleotides) under uncultured bacterium. RNAcentral describes it as "partial small subunit ribosomal RNA". It matches the Rfam family "Bacterial small subunit ribosomal RNA", at positions 26 to 285 of the family's 1533-position model. The record is from RNAcentral.